CUUAUGUGUUAUGGAGAAUGGAAGUAGAAUUGUCAAGUUGCGCUGUCAUUUGAAGUUGGCAUAUAGGCAGUGUCUGAUUCUGGCGUAGGGGAUUUUGUUCAUUUACUAGUCACACAAAGGCCUCUUCAUCUUAGCUAGAAGCCCAUCUGCCCAGAACACAGCUACCACGAGACUCGAGAAACGGUGAAGAGUAACGGUAGGAAAUAAGAGGCCAC
RNAcentral lists this unclassified non-coding RNA (215 nucleotides) under Hevea brasiliensis (rubber tree). The record is from RNAcentral. Lineage: Eukaryota; Viridiplantae; Streptophyta; Magnoliopsida; Malpighiales; Euphorbiaceae.